UAUAUAUAGUUUUACUCCAAUAGAAACCUCCUUAUCCUAGAAACUAAAAACCAAGCUGAAAUAUCACUAAAUCCUAAAGCAAAUACCACUAAAUUCUUAAACAACCCCAUCUCCACCUUCAUCUUCACCAAACCCACUUCCAUCUUCACCAACCCCACCUCCACUACCACCACCUCCGUCGUCGCCUCCUUCAUAACCACUACUACCUCUAUGCCGCCCGCCCCCUCCAUAACCACCACCUCCAUCUCCACCUCCACCUCCACCUCUAUUAUUUCCCUAACAACACAACCUCCACACCUCCAUCUUCACCAACCCCAUCUUAAUAGAUGCUUCAACCUCCUUCAACUUCGUUCAUACUUCUUUCUCCACCCCGACUCAACUUCAAACGCGAAGCCGCCACUAUUCCGGCAACACUCCAACCCCCCACUUCAAGCCGCCCAAACCUCCGCUAGAAUCAUCCUUCCUCCAUCUCCACCUUCACCUCCACCAUCUCCACCACUAUCACCACCAUCUGAAUCGAAAACAUGAACAGAUCUGGAGAUUCUAAGCUGGAACAUAUCUGGAGAUUAAGUUUUCACUAAUUCCUGCAACACAGAUCACUAAAUCCCAAGGAGAAUAUCACUAAAUUGUACUGAGAAUAUCACUAACUUGUAUUGGUUUCUAGUUUUUAUUUUAAUAUUGGUUUCUAUUUGAUCAUGAGCCUAUAUAUAUAUAGGGUGCUAAUCUUGUACAAACUGUUUUAUUGUACAAACUACAAACUAGGCCCAACCCGACAACUUAGCUCUCGGCCCAGUUAGCGUUCGGCCCACUUUCUGAUUACAACACGACUACGACUAGUCUGAAAAAACAAAAAAGAAAUUUAAAUACAGACAGAAGAAACCAUAGACAGGCAUAUAGACACAAAACAGUUACACUCAUCGCUCCUCUUACUGUUCAUCUCUCUCAAACACAAGGUAUAAUCACUGCUAAACUUGCUUCUAAUUUUCGAUUUCUCACCGUUUUUGCAAUUAUUACAUGUUUAACUCGUUCGUUUUGAACAUAUUUUGCAAAAACAGGGGAAAUCGCAGUGGAGAUCAGCCUCGUACUCAAUCGGAACGAUAUCAGCUUCAAAUUCUUCAAAUAGGUACAAUACUAUAUUCCGAGUCUCGUAUUGUAGUUAUAACUUUGUUACUUUGUGAUUGCAUGUUAGUGCGAGUCAGUUUUUUAGGGUUUUAGUAAUCGAUCUUAUGAAAAACUAACAUAUAAUGUUUAUGUGUUCUCAUAGCAGCAACUAGUUGUCUAUAUAACUCUGAAAGCAAAAAAUUAUGGCUAGGACUAGAGGAGGUAUGUUAUUUAGGGUUUUGUAAUUUUUUGUUUUUAUUUUGCUUAAUUUGUGCUGUUAUUACUGCUCUUAUUUAUGUAGAAAUUGUUUCCUCUUUGAUUUGCAUUAUAUAUGAUUUAUGAUUUGAUUUCGUGUUGAAUACUGAUUAGAGUUUAUAAUGUUUAUGAUUUAUGAUUACUGAUUAGAGUUUACGAUUAGAAAUGUUUAUGGUAUUUUGGACCAUAUAGAAUAUUGGAGUCUGGUUGAUACAUUAGAUUUGUGUACGUAUGUAUAAUUGUGUAGUUAGCUGCAUAUAUUGUACUCUAGUUAGCUGCAUACUCUGUAGUUAGCUAAAUAUAGUCAUAAAUAAAAAACAUGAUACAGGUGCAGCUAGAUAUAGUACUCUUUAUGUAUAAUUUGUGAUUGAUGUAUAAAAUAUUAAUGGUUGAUGCUUUAUAAAUUAGAGAUUAAUGCCUAAUAUAAUUGUGUUUGCAGAUGUAUGCUAAUAUAAAAUAUUAAUAUAAUUGUGUUUGCAGAUGCCUAAUAUAAAAUAUUAAUGGUUGAUGCUUUAUAAAUUAGAGAUUAAUGCCUAAUAUAACAUUAGACCUGUGUACAUGUGUAUAAUUGUGUUUGCAGAUGUAUGCUAAGAAAUAAAUGGUGGGGGAUUUGUUGUUCUGUGUUGUGCAUAAAAUCCUUCGUCUCUCUUGUGUGUAAAGUAUAUAUGAUUAGUGACUCUCUCAUGUCCACAUUGCAUAUAAUACUAUUGUUUAUCUUCUGGAAUUACAUAUUAUGGUACAUCUCUGUUCAUAUCUAGAUAGCAUUAAGUUGCAUCUAGCCACGUAUCCCUCUGGCCACGUAUCCAUAACGGGGUGGGACUGAUUUGUACCUUGUAGCGUGGCGAGGCAUGAGAGACAAAAGGGGUGUGUGUUGCCCCCUGCUGAAGUUGACUCUUAUCAUUAUACACAUAAGAUUGUUCUAAUUAUUACUACUAGGCAUUAUCCACACCUUAAUCUUCUGUCUUUCAAUGUAUGUUCACCAUCAUAAUCAGAUUUCAUCAAUUACUUAAUCAUGAUAUUAUUUGGUAGUUUUUUAUUUAUAAAUUACUAAUUAUAUGAUUAAUGCCUUAUAAAUUAGUGAUUACUAAUAUAUGCAUCGAUAUUUUUUAGAAACUAUCCACUCUUGCUUCAAGUUUUAUUAGUGAUUAACAUAUUUGAUGUUGGUAUUAUAUUCGUUUAUGGCUUUCUAGAAAAAAUAAUAUUACUAGUUCAAUAGCUAUGUACAUAUAUUCUUUACUUAACGCCUCUGCAAGAAAAAAAAUUCAGGACAUAGAGUGCAACUGCGAAGAAGUUCAAGACUACAACGUUGUAAGACAACCUUCAGCAAUACAAUAAACGAUCCAAUUAACCUUGAAGAAUCUCCAGUUGAUAGGACUAUGGAACAUGACGAGCACACCAGUACUCCGAACAAAUCUGAAGGAAGUGCACCAGAAAAAUUUAAGCGAUUACGGCACAAAGUGACAGCUGGAAAACUAUUUCACUCUGAUGUGUAUAUCUCUACUCUGUAAUUUGUCUUUUCUGAUUAUUAUAAAUACACUUCUUGCUUCCAUAUUAUAAACUUCUUGAUUAUUAUAAAGUGACAUGAGAGAUUGUCUACCUCUUGUUUUCAUAUUCACUAAAUUAAAAACAUUGGCUGAUUUUAAGUUGUCAAUUUUGUGACAGGAGGAUGAGCAAGAGUCAUAUUCAAUUCUAGAAUUAUAUAGGACUGAAUAUGAAGCUGGACAACUUGAAAAGCAAGCUGCACAACUUGAAAAUCAAGCUGACAAACUCAACCACAAGAUCAAGCAGCACAAACUCAACCACAUGAUCAAGCUCCACAAGAUCAAGAUACAGAACCACAAGAUCAAGCUGCACAAGAUCAAGAUACAGAACCACAAGAUCACAAUCAAGCUGAAGAUGAUCGAGAUCACAAUCAAGAUGAACAGGAAUCUCAAGAAGAAGCUCAAAAUGAACAUGAAUCUCAAAAUGAACAAAAAGCUGACAAUGUAAAAGUUAGGAAGUGGAAAAGAAAAAAGACUGAAGGGGUACAUACUUUAUUUCAAUUUAGUAUCUUAUACUUUUAGUAUAUUAGUGAUCUCAAUACUUUUGAUAUUGUACACUUUUAGUAUAUUUAGAUUUUGUAAUCACUAAUAUAUUAGUGAUAUAAAAGUAUGUUAUACUUUUAGUAUAUUAAGAUUUCUUGAUAUAUAUGUGAUCUCAUACUUUUAGUAUCUUAUAUUUUUAGUAUAUUAGUGAUCACUAAUAUACUAAAAAUAUGAUACAUCAACUACACUUUUUCGUAAUCACUAAUAUAUCAUUAACGAUCUACUAAAAAUAUGAUACAUUAACUACUAAUAUAUCAUUAACGAUCUACUAAAAAUAUGAUACGUUAACUACACUUUUUCGUAAUCACUUUUAUGAUAUAGGUGGAUACACACAAUGCUCGUGAUCAUCCUGUAACAAAAAGGCCAAACAUUAAGCUGCC
This 3820-nucleotide long non-coding RNA is filed under the name Daucus carota (carrot). Its description in RNAcentral is "long non-coding RNA (DCAR_LNC002272)". Lineage: Eukaryota; Viridiplantae; Streptophyta; Magnoliopsida; Apiales; Apiaceae. The record is from RNAcentral.